AAGACCCUAUCGAGCUUUACUAAAAGCUUAGAGUUCUACAUUACUAAUAAAAUUAUUCUAAACAGCCUCUAAGCCUAUUAGUUUGGUUGGGGCGACCACCUCUAAAAUAGUAUCAGAGGUAACCUAAUGGUCAUUUAUAAAUAAGAUAAAGGCUUAACUGAAUACAUACCUGUUAACCAGUUACUAAUUGUAGGGUAUAAUGACCCGUUGGGUUAGUUAUUAAACUCAACGAAUAUGAAAAAAGUUACCGUAGGGAUAACAGGGUAAUAUUUCUGGAGAGUUCUCAUCGAUAGAAAUGUUUGCCACCUCGAUGUUGAAUUGCGAUAACCUAAAGGUGUAGCAGCUUUAAAGGGU
This 354-nucleotide ribosomal RNA is filed under the name Phyllorhiza punctata. Its description in RNAcentral is "partial 16S ribosomal RNA". It matches the Rfam family "Bacterial large subunit ribosomal RNA", at positions 2085 to 2572 of the family's 2925-position model. Lineage: Eukaryota; Metazoa; Cnidaria; Scyphozoa; Rhizostomeae; Mastigiidae. The record is from RNAcentral.